This 427-nucleotide long non-coding RNA is filed under the name Sorghum bicolor (sorghum). Its description in RNAcentral is "long non-coding RNA (SBIC_LNC002684)". The record is from RNAcentral. Lineage: Eukaryota; Viridiplantae; Streptophyta; Magnoliopsida; Poales; Poaceae.
UGACCAGCCGCCGAUGGAGCGAGUUUCCACUUUGGCACUAGGAGCGGUGUCAAAAAAGUGGGUGCUAUCGGCAGAAGAUAUAUCUAGACCGGUGAGCAUGGCUACAUCGGCAAGAGUAGGAGAAGCAGGGCCGUGGCCAAAGACAAAAGCGUUGAGGGUGUCUGACCAAAAGUAAGAUGCAGCUAUCAACAGUGACUCAUUCCUGUGCAUAUCGGCAAUGGACAAUCUAAUGCAUUGAUCUAGCUUUCUCUCACCCCACUGGACUUCAUUGGAGUUGCUGACCCUCAAGAACCAGUCUUUCCACCCUACAGUAGGGCUGGGCCAAGAACGGAAGGUGUCUUUCCACAGAUCUAAAGAAAAAUUUUCGGUUCUGAAAGGGAUCCUGUUGGUUUCUGCGUUAAUAAGAUCGGUUGGAUCUGGAUCCCCU